Molecule: ribosomal RNA, 201 nt
Filed under: uncultured bacterium
Lineage: Bacteria
Description: partial 16S ribosomal RNA
Rfam family: Bacterial small subunit ribosomal RNA
Source: RNAcentral
GCAGGCUGCAACUCGCCUGCAUGAAGUCGGAAUUGCUAGUAAUCGCAGAUCAGCAUGCUGCGGUGAAUACGUUCCCGGGCCUUGUACACACCGCCCGUCACACCAUGGGAGUCGGUAACACCCGAAGUCGGUAGCCUAACCGUAAGGAGGGCGCCGCCGAAGGUGGGAUUGAUGACUGGGGUGAAGUCGUAACAAGGUACC